UCUGGAUUGCUCCUACACUCAAAGGAGGACGCAGUGAGGCCUAGUGUGGAUGCUGGGCGGGAGGGGAGGCCGCUCUCCCAGCUUGCCUGAUACUGGCCUACCGCUGAAUCCUACUAUAGCCCUGCCCCCCCCCUCUGGACAGGUGGGGGUGAUCCCAAUCCAAACCCCAAAGGCUCCAAUACUACACUGUGCCCAAGCGACACUUACAAGCAGUACCGACACUACCACUGCAAUGGCGGUUGCCCCAUGCUUGCCUGACCCAUGCGGUGAGAGAUGGGAUGUGGAGAGCAGGCUGACAGAGCUAUUCAACGCCUUCUUUGUGAAGCUGACCGCUUGCGUGUGGCACACGGCUCAUGAUCUUAAGCCAGACCUCAUUUUUCACAGUCCGGCACAUCCAGACAGGCCGGAAGAAGAGGAGCCCGCUUCUGAUCAGACCUGUCCUAUACACCAGCACUCGGAGAGACACAUCUUGACGUAUACUGAGAACAACCCCUUUGGAUCCCUGAUGCUGUGCCUACAUGUUUCCUGAAUGGAC
Molecule: non-coding RNA, 535 nt
Organism: Pelobates cultripes (western spadefoot toad)
Lineage: Eukaryota; Metazoa; Chordata; Amphibia; Anura; Pelobatidae
Source: the annotation of a GenBank genome assembly